UGGUUCUGGCAUNGAUGAAGAACGCAGCGAAAUGCGAUAAUUAAUGUGAAUUGCAGAAUUUAGUGAAUCAUCGAAUCUUUGAACGCACAUUGCGCCCCUUGGUAUUCCGGGGGGCAUGCCUGUUCGAGCGUCAUUUCAACCCUCAAGCUCAGCUUGGUCUUGGGCCGCGCCGGAAACGGCGGGCCUCAAAAACAGUGGCGGCGCCAUCGUGUUCCUCAGCGUAGUAAUUUGUCUCGCUGUUGGGCCCCGGUGGCAGCUGGCCAGCAACCCCAAAUUUUCUAUGGUUGACCUCGGAUCAGGUAGGGAUACCCGCUGA
Molecule: unclassified non-coding RNA, 316 nt
Filed under: uncultured fungus
Lineage: Eukaryota; Fungi
Description: partial contains 5.8S ribosomal RNA and internal transcribed spacer 2
Rfam family: 5.8S ribosomal RNA (bases 1-133)
Source: RNAcentral